GAUCAGAGCCUCGGCCCGCCCCAGCACGCUCUUCGCCCCCUUCUCUGCCUAUAGGGCUCGAUCCACGGCACAAUCGCCAUCCCACGUCGAUCUCGGUGACCCCGCUGCGCCGCCCGUGGAGAUUGACCGGACUGCCAAGCCCGCGGUGGCAGCACCGUACUCCGCCGAUUCGAUGCCGACCGGUAGCACGGAAGGAAAUGGCGGUGCCGGACGCGCGCGUCGCUGAUGGUCAGGCUGCCGAGGCAAAGGUUGGAGUCGCUCUUGCAGGAACUCUGGCGGACACUUCGGGCUGGGCGACUUCGAUCUCGGCGUAUCACUUCCUGAUGUAGCCACCGACUCCGAGGCGCAUACAGGAACAACAAGGGCUGUGACAACAACGGCGAUGUGGUUCAAUGGUGUGUGACUUAGACUGCGCGACAAACCAGGUAUGGCAACAGCGAGAUUUGGGACUUCGAGAGUCCGAAAUUCAGACCACAAGGCACUAAUUAAUUGCAUUAAUUGGUGUGUAAAUGUUGACGAGUUGUGGUAAAUCAACCAAGCUAUCGUUAUUUCAGUGGGUGCUUGGAUCAAGGGACUAUUUUUAGUACUAAAAAUAGUCUCUUUUAGAGGCUAAAGUUCCAAGCACCCCUGACUAAAGAGAGGCUAGGACUAGUCUUGAGGCUAAAAUCUUUUAGUCAUAGGAAACCUACUAAAAUAUGUAUUAGCCUUCUCUCUCCUCAUUUAAUUCCUCUCUUUUAACACAUGCGAGUUCUAGAUUGGAGGGUUUUGAGAAUAAUAAAUGCUCAAUAAUUUGAUUUUAGUCUCUUUAGUAUUUGGAUCCAAGCAUAGGUGAGGCUAGCAAGUUUUAGUCCCACUACUUUUAGUCAUGGAACUAAAACGUAUCCAAGCACCCUCUCAGGUUUCUAUCGGUUAGACAUAUAGAUCUGAGUUGGAUACCUUGUUUCCCCUGCUAGUUAAAUGGUACUCCCAUAUUACUGUUGUUCUAAUAUUUGUUUGUGGUCCGCUGUGUGGUGAGUGGUGACUGGGACUAGUAAGGAACUUGUGAACAUCUGGAGUUAGAUAGUCUAACAUGGAAAUAUGCCCUUUUAUUAGAAGCAGGAUCAGUUGCAGUGAAGUUGUCCAAAAUAAAAAUGUUGCCUCUGUUAGGGUGGGACAAUGGAAUGCGAUGAUUCAGGAUAAACGUCUAAUUAGUAUUUGUAUACCAGGAAUAGAACUACUGCUAACAGAGGAUGCCGACUGAGGAGCUGUAUAGCAUGUGCAAUCAUUUUUCUAUUUUACACACACCUUUUUCAUUUAGAAUGUCUGCAGAACAUCUCAUGUCACUUGGUUUUAGUUUUCCUGAGUGAUAGGAGGAAGAGCAUGCAAUACUUCAUUUUUCUGUGAAGCUGUACCAAUGAUCUUCUUAAAUAUAGGUUUAAAUCACUCGAGUGUUGAGUCUGACAAGAUUGAAAAGUCUGUAUGUCAAGAUAGUGCAGGUAUGCCUUUACUAAAUGCGCUUAUUACCGUCGGCAGUGCGUAGUUUAUUCAAAUAUGGCCAGCUAAAAUAACCAUGCAGUGGAUAUGAACAAACAAUUGUCUCAGUUACUGAUUCUAUUCCCUUAUGAUGUUGUUAUGAUUCAAUGAACAAUCAUUAUGGUUCCAUCACUUAUGCAGGCAUCCUGCUAGCUUUCCAACAGUUAUGCUUUAUAUUUGUGGCAUUGCAUAAAUUUGUGAAUUUGGAGUUCAUGGUGAUCAGGGUUGUUUAUACUUGGCGUCUCUUUAAUAUGUACCGUUGCACCUUGAAUCGAAAUAACUUUUGCAAUAUUCACUGCAAGCGUGCCGUUUCCAACAAAAUAAUUGUCUGAUACUAUUUAACACUCCAAUCAUUUAACAAUUUACUAUGGUCGUGACCUAUAUAUCAAUAUAUGCACUGUCAUGCUGCUCUCUUGCGAGCCCUUUGGACGAAAUAUAUAAUGUUUCAAAUCUACAUUCUGAUUGUACUUAAGAAAAACAUUCGACAUAUGUUUUCCUUAUAUAUUAGCAUACAUGUAAUUGAUAAUUUUUUCUGGAAAAAGGGGAACACACAAUGCAGUAAAUUUGUAAUAUUAUGUCAACACAAGAAGAUAUGGUUACAUGUUACAAGUUUGCAUCUACUCCCUCCGUUAGAUAUAUUGAGUUUUCAAUAUGGACUACAUACGGAUGUACCGUAUGUAGUCCAGAUUGAAAUCUCUAAAAAGACUUGUAUUUAGGAACGGAGGGAGUAUGUGCACAUCAGUAGAACUAAGCAGUUCUCAAUAUAUCUGACGGCUCUGCACCAAAGCAAAUACCAGGAAUGUAGUGGGGCUGUGUGAUAUACUUCCCUUUACUGAACUGAUAUUACUAUGUUAGUUCUCCGUGUCCAUGAUUGCCGUGUUACCGCUAAUAUGAUGUAGCAUUUUGUGUUCUGCCAAAAAUAAUUUUCAUAUUUUAUCGAAGUGCUAAACUUGUGACCAUUAUUUUCAGCCUCAUGCCGUAAGCUCAUCAGAUGGUCCUCUCAAGACUUGGAUCGGCAACUUGAUGCAAGUGAUCAACGGAUGUUUGGAAUGUAUACUGCUCAAAUGCUAACAUUGUGUUGCUGUGUAGUUAAUUAACAUUAUAAUUGAAGUGUUUUGGUCUAGCAACUCUAGUUGAUACGUGGUCUAGUCUAUAGCAGAUUGUAUAUGUAGAUUGAAGUGUUCUAGCAAUUUAGCAACUUAGGCUAGCCUUUCUUUGAAUUUAUGGCCAGUAUGAAUAUGAUGUAUAAUGUUUUUUCGCUGAUUUUUAAAUUAUUUGAUUUAUGGCUGAUAUUAAUCCAGUUUUCGGUUGUUUUUACUUUUGUUGUGAUUGUUAGUUGCACCGUGUUCCUAUUCUACAUAAAUU
Molecule: long non-coding RNA, 2877 nt
Filed under: Triticum aestivum (bread wheat)
Lineage: Eukaryota; Viridiplantae; Streptophyta; Magnoliopsida; Poales; Poaceae
Description: long non-coding RNA (TAES_LNC022343)
Source: RNAcentral